UUUUCGUCACCCUUAAGAGUCGUUUCUAAGUCUUCCUUGCUCAAGUCUUCUUCAGAGAGUUUAUCGUCUUCAUCCACAACAGGCUCAUCCAUUAUGUCAGAAAUAAUGGUUCCAGCAGUAAUUUUUACCAAGUUAUCAUUUGAAGACUCCUCUUCUGUGUGAGCCGAUUUGUCGCCAAUGGUAUUUUGAGGAUUAAUUUCCUGCACAUUGUCCAAAGAAUUACUCUCUAUUAAGUUGCUUUCUUCUUUAACACCUUCUUUAGGCUCAGAGGAAGGCAACUGAAUGUCAAUUUCUGAAACUGACUGUUGAGAGGAGCUAUUGGCUAUGUUGUUUUCAACAAAGGAAUCCAUAGGUUCAAUUGUGCUUUGUUCUUUUCUAGAGGUAGAAAAAAUGGUGUUUUCAUCUGUCACAUCAAUAUCGUCAGCUUCAAAAGACUUGCGUAUAGAAUCAUGCCGUCCUUCAAGAUCAACAGAAGACUCCUUAGGCUCGUGGUCUGAUUCAAUAUCCAUUCCUUGAUACGUUAGUGCCCAAUAUUAUAUUACUAAGACGAAAAAUUUAGCUUAUUUUUUAAACGAAAAAUAGGCAGCAAAGUAUACCAAUAAAUGGAGGAUAAAACAAUGCUCAAAGUUGUAGGAAAAAAAUUGGCC
Non-coding RNA from Schizosaccharomyces pombe (fission yeast), 647 nucleotides. The record is from the annotation of a GenBank genome assembly. NCBI's taxonomy places the organism in Eukaryota, Fungi, Ascomycota, Schizosaccharomycetes, Schizosaccharomycetales, Schizosaccharomycetaceae.